This 8283-nucleotide long non-coding RNA is filed under the name Theobroma cacao (cacao). RNAcentral's name for it is "long non-coding RNA (TCAC_LNC002578)". The record is from RNAcentral. Lineage: Eukaryota; Viridiplantae; Streptophyta; Magnoliopsida; Malvales; Malvaceae.
UAAAAUAUUCUAUUUUCUUAUAAAACAAUAUUUAUAGAGUUAUACGUGAAUAAUUUUUAUAGCAUAAAAGCUAAAUAAAUUUAUACAUACUUAAAUACAGUAAGUCAAAAUAUUUAAUUUAAUUUACAAAAACAAGAGUGCCUCCGAAUAAACAAAAGUAAAGAGGACUAUGAACCUACGGUUUGGAAAAUGCAGAUCCCACUGUAGUCCUCGAUGAGAUCAGCUAUCUACAGUCUAUACUGAACCUGAAAUGGGUGAAAAUGAGGGUGGUGAGAUUAUAAAAUCCUAAUGAGUAAACAGACAUCAUCAUAAACAUCUAGAGUUAAGUACAUGGAGACAAUAAAGUAAAUCAUCAUAAACUGGGUUAUACAAUUAGAACACAUCUCGUUCAAAAUACGUAAAAAGGCUUAUGACUCUCAUAAAAAUCUAGGCUUGUGCCAUAAAUCCAUUCUCGGGGACACCUUGGCCGAGGCAUCCUACCAAGACUGCUAAAGCUAUUAAAAUUCACAUUUCACAUAAAUCAUGUUUUUGUUUUGAAAACAUAGUCGUUUCUUGGCGUUGGCUGAGUUUCCCUUCACGUGGUGGUUUGGCGUGAAGUGAACCCUAAGCUUUACCCCAGGAUAUACCCUACGCGCCUCUCCGUUCAAGGUAAGAAUAUAAUGGGAUUUACCGUGCCCUUCUAAAAGGCUGGUCUACAGAAACCCCCUACUGCAGUGAUUAAUUAAUAUAUAAUCCACCAUAUAAUAAAACUCAAUAACAUGAUAUGGCAAUUUUGUAAUUCGUAGUUUUUCAAGGUAACCAAACAAUUCGCAUUUCAAUACAAUUGCCAACUAGCCAAUCAUGCUCGAUUUAUCAUAAGCCAGUUAAUUUAAACAAUCAAAUUGCCACAAUUAACAGUCUCCGUGUACUCUAUUUUUCAAAAUCACUAUUAAUUUCAAAACAAUUUAUAAUUUAAUUUCAUUGAAACUCAUUUAUUCAUAAAACAUGAAAAUUUAUCUUUUUAAAUUCCUUUUUCCAUAGAAUUCAUGAAAGCAUCUAAAAACCACCCUAGAUAAUUAAAAUGACAGUAAGUUUACUCACAAUGUCUAGAAUGCAGACUUUCGAAGCACUCUGUCUACUGGUCCUCGGAUGCAAUUUCCUUGCCUUUAUCGGAGGACUCACCACCUUGACACAGUACAAAAUCGAGAGUUUCACCAAGUUGGUACUAAAUCAAAAUUAAACUAAUUUAGACUACCAAUGCAUGAUAUGGAAUGCAAAAAUGCACUGGUAACUAUCUAAACCCGGUAUUGGCCUAAUUCGUCUUAUCACCCGAUUAAAUUCCUAACGGGUCCGUUUAAACUCCAAUUUAAUUCUUUUCAGUUUCUAUACCUCAAUUGCACCCAAAUUAACUUAAUGUCCCUCAGUGUGGUGCAAAUUAUCAGUCCCAACAGCAAAUUACGAAAAUACCCCUAGUGGGUAAAAAUUCGUAUUUUUGCUCCGAAAAUUCCCAUUAUUUUUCUAGGCUCAUAAUUCAUCAUUCCUUAACCAAUUCUCCUAGAAUAAAAUCAAACUCAUCCUCACUCACUACAUGGUAAAUUCAGCCAUUAAUGGUUGGGGGAGAAAAUAAAUUCUUUUCUUGUUGUUUUGUUUCUAAAUAUGCUAAACUAACUAAAAACACUAACAUAAAUUAAAAUCAAAUAAAUCCAACAACUUUCUCUCUCCUAACCCAUUUUUUCAGAAUUGAAUUCAUCAUGAAAACAUGUAAUUUAAUCAUGGAAAAUAAAGAGAAAUGCUUGGGAAUAAGAAAACUCAAGCUUAAUAGAAAAAAUCUCACCUUUUUCACUUAAUUUCCUUGAAAAUUCACACUUUUUCUUUGAUUUUCUCUCUCUAGGGUUUUGUUUUUGUUUUCUCUCUCUUCUUGCUGGUUUGGCCGGCCAUGGGGUGGAAGAUGGGCUGAUUUUGUGCCUUUUAAAAAGGAAAAUAAUAAAUUAAUAAAGGCAUGACACAUGGCAUCAUGUCAUUGGCCCGUUUUUAAAAUUUUAAAAAUUUAAACAUUUUAUCUCCACCACAUGUUUAGUCAAGGGUCAAAGAUGAAGACAAAGGAAGACCAUGUGCUGGAAAAAAUAUCCUGGUGGUGGAAAAUUACAAUUUUGCCCCUGAGGUGGCAAAAUUACCAUUUUACCCCUAUACUCCAAAUUAUACCGAAAUUAAAAUUUUUCACUUCUAAACCUCAAAUCAUACUUCAAUAAGUCAAAUUAUACUCUAAUAAGUCAAAUGGGGUCAAAAAAAUCUUUUCUAAAAUUCCCAUUUUGUCCCCAGGUGGCAAAUGACCAUUUUGCCCCUAGUUAGUGAAAAUUCCGAUUUGACUCCAAAUUGAUCCUCAAACUCCAAAUUACCAUUUUAAGUCAUCCAUGAACUGUGAAACUCUUAAUCUCACCUUAAAAUUCCUAUUUGAUCUAGUUCGAGGAUUAAAUAAACUUUGUUGUACCUCUAGGUACAAUACCGACUUUUGUAAAUUUUUCGGGACUCUCCUAGCAUGCAAUCAUGCUAUCAUCACAUGUAUGUCAUGAAUAGUAUUUUAUAAGGUCGGGCUUUACAGAACUACCCCCCUUAAAAUAAAAUUUUGACCUCAAAAUUUCACUUACCUGAUUCGAAUAAAAGAUGUGGAUAUUGGUUUCUCAUCUGGCUCUCGACUUCCCACGUCAUCUCCUCCAUUCGAGCAUUCUUCCACAAUACUUUCACCAUUGGAAUGCUCUUGUUCCUUAGCACUCGAUCCUUUCGAUCUAGAAUACGUACAGGCUGCACCUCGAACUUCAAAUCCUCAUGCAACUCAAUGGGAGGUGUCUCUAAAAUGUGAGAGGGAUCGGGAACAUACUUUUUCAACAUCGAGACAUGGAAGACAUUAUGAAUUCGAUCUAACUCUGGGGGUAAUUCAAGUCUGUAAGCCACUGGCCCAAUCCUUUCAAUGAUACGAAAAGGUCCAAUGUAUCUUGGAUUGAGCUUUCCCCUCUUCGCGAAUCGAAUCACACCUUUCAUCAUCCAAUAAAUACCACAAAUUAUCACAAUAGUAUAAUCAAAUAAGAUUUAAUACUUGGAAAUUUCAAAUUAUUACCUUUCCAAGGAGAAACCUUAAGAAAAACUUUAUCGUCGACUUCAAACUCCAAAUCUUUCCUUCGUUUAUCCGAAUAAUUCUUCUGCCUAUCUUGAGCUGUCUUUAAUCGCUCUCGGAUAACUUUGACCUUAUCGUUUGUCAAAUCAAUCAAUUCCACAUUCACCAAUUUCCUCUCACCUACUUCAUCCCAACAGAGCGGAGUUCGGCAUUUCCUUCCAUACAAAGCCUCGUAUGGUGCCAUCCCAAUACUAGACUGAAAACUGUUAUUAUAAGCAAACUCCACCAAUGGCAAGUGUCUGUCCCAACUCCCGAUAAAGUCAAUGACACAAGCCCGUAACAUAUCCUCCAAGGUCUGAAUAGUUCUCUCAGAUUGACCAUCUGUCUGUGGAUGAAAGGCAGUACUAAAUCUCAAUUUAGUUCCAAGAGCUUCCUGAAAUUUCGGCCAAAAUCGAGAAGUAAAUCGAGGGUCUCGAUCUGACACAAUAGAAACUGGGACUCCGUGUAAUCUCACAAUCUCAUCUAUAUAAAGUCUUGCCAGCCUCUCAAUAGAAUACGUGCCAUGGAUAGCCAAGAAAUGGGCGGACUUAGUCAAUCUAUCCACAAUCACCCAAAUAGCAUCCUUCCCACUUUGGGUCCGCGGUAAACCUAAUACAAAGUCCAUAGUCACGUGUUCCCACUUCCAUUCAGGAAUCGGUAAAGGCUGAAGAGUACCUGAUGGUUUUUGAUGCUCUGCCUUGAUCUGUUGGCAUGUGAGACAUUUCGCUACAAACUCUGCUAUGUCUUGUUUCAUACCCGGCCACCAAUAACUUUUUUUAAUAGUCCGAUACAUCUUGGUGCUUCUGGGAUGUAAAGCGUAGGCAGAAGAAUGAGCUUCCUCCAAAAUAGCUCGUCUCAACUGAUCAUCCUUAGGGACACAAAUUCGGUCUCUAAGCAUCAAAGUACCAUCAUCACUGAGUCUAAACUCACUAGCUUCUCCAUCUUGCAGCUUUUGAACUUCCUGCUUCAACCAAUCAUCAGAUUUCUGCAAUUUUCUAAUCUAAUUCAACAAUGAAGGUCUCACGACGAAACUAGCAAGUAGGGUUCAAUCCUUACCAUUAUUCAACUAGAUCCCUAGAGAUUUCAUCUCAAGUAACAUCGGAAAAUAAGAACUCUGAAAUGUUGCUAACGAUGAUGAGGAUUUACGACUUAAGGCAUCAGCUACAACAUUUGCUUUUCCCGAAUGAUAAUCAAUCACUAAGUCAUAAUCUUUAAUCAACUCCAACCAUCAUCUCUGUCUCAAGUUAAGCUCUUUCUGGGUGAGCAAAUACUUCAAACUCUUAUGAUCAGUAAAAAUUCGGCAACGCUCACCAUAUAAAUAAUGUCUCCAAAUCUUCAAUGCAAAGACAACUGCUGCUAACUCCAAGUCGUGAGUAGGGUAAUUCGUCUCGUGCUUCUUCAACUGCCGGGAAGCAUAAGCUAUUACCUUCUCGUCCUGCAUCAACACACACCCUAAUCCCAACUUAGAUGCAUCGCUAUAUACCACAAAUUCUUUUCCACUAACAGGAAGUGUUAAAAUAUGAGCGGAGGUUAACCGGUUCUUUAGCUCCUGAAAUCGAUUCUCACAAACAUCAUCCCACUCAUACUUAACUCCUUUACGAGUUAAACGAGUCAGAGGAGCUGCUAUCAAAGAAAAUCCCUGAACAAAUCUCCGGUAAUAACCGGCUAAGCCAAGGAAACUACGAAUCUCAGUUACCGUUCUCGGUUGCUCCCAUUGCAAGAUUGCCUCAAUCUUCUUGGGAUCGACAUAAAUUCCAGCUCCGGACACCACAUGUCCCAAGAAAACCACUUCCUUCAACCAGAAUUCACAUUUAGAGAACUUGGCAUAGAGUUGUCUCUCGCGCAAAGUUUGCAACACAAUGCGCAAAUGGGCAGCAUGUUCAUCAUCAUUCUUCGAAUAAACCAGGAUGUCAUCGAUGAAUACUAUCACAAACUUAUCCAAGUAUGGAUGGAACACCCUGUUCAUAAGAUCCAUAAAAACUGCCGGGGCAUUAGUCAAACCAAACGGCAUCACCAGAAACUCAUAAUGCCCAUAACGCGUCCUGAAGGCAGUCUUAGGUACAUCCUGCUCCUUAAUCCUCAACUGAUAGUACCCAGAUCUCAAAUCAAUCUUAGAGAAUACCAUAGCACCUCGUAAUUGAUCAAAAAGAUCAUCUAUCCGGGGUAAAGGGUAUUUAUUCUUGAUGGUCACUCGGUUCAGCUGACGGUAAUCAAUACACAAUCGAAGAGUGCCAUCCUUCUUCUUUACAAAUAGGACUGGUGCUCCCCAAGGAGAAAUGCUAGGGCGAAUGAAACCUUUAUCCACCAAAUCUUGCAACUGGACUUUCAGUUCCUUCAACUCUGCUGGAGCCAUUCUAUAUGGAGGAAUAGAAAUAGGUGCGGUACCCGGAAGUAAAUCAAUAGGGAACUCAAGCUCUCGAUCAGGAGGUAGUCCCGGUAAAUCAUCAGGAAAUACAUCAGGAAACUCACUUACUAUUGGGACAUCCUCUAACUUAGGUUCCCCCUUUGAAGUAUCGAUCACGUAUGCCAAAUAAGCCGGAUACCCUUUUUGCACUAAUUUUGAAGCUUUGAUGGCUGAGAUUACACAAGAUGGUAAUACUCGACGUUCCCCUACAAACACAAUCUCUGCUCCCUCCGAAUUCCGAAGAACAACUUCUUUUCGGAAACAAUCCACGUUCGCCCGAUGUGCAGUUAACCAGUCCAUACCCAAUAUUAAAUCAAAAUCCAAGAUCUCUAAAGGAAUUAAGUCACCCCUAAAUUCUUUCUCACCUACCCUUACCCCACAGUCUCUAUAACAAGUAUUUCUAAUCAACUGUUCUCCUAGAGGGGUAUGCACUACAAUUUCUCCCUCUAAUGGUGACAGGUUUCUAUCAGCAAUUGAUGCAAAUGUCGUACUCACAUAAGAUCUAUCUGAGCCAGAAUCUAUCAAAACAUAAGCAUCUUUAUCAAAUAAAGACAUAGUACCUAUCACUGCUUCAGGUCGGACCCGUGCCUCAUCUUUUGUUACAGCAAAAACUCUUGUCCCGGUACGAGUCUGCAGUCUCAAAGGUGGAUGUGUCGGGGUAUUACUCUCCACACCGGACUGUAUGGCUACUCCUUGUCUCGGUGGUAACCUAAAAGAAUAUUUCCUCUGCAUAUCAGUGCGAGCUGGUGGAGAUGAUGCAACUACCGUGGCUCGUCCUAACCGUGGGUAAUUACUCCUAAUAUGACCCGUCUGUCCACAUUGGAAACAUCUUGUUGGCCCUCUACAUAGCCCACUAUGAUAAUUUCCACAAUUUCUACAUCUGUCAGAACCUUUGGAACUCUUCCCAGAACCAGCCAUAGCAGAUCUGCUAAACCUCGAAGGUCUCUGCUGUGAUGGUGAAAAUGGAGGUCGAGGAGAUGUCACGGAAAUAGAAGUAGUGCUCCCUAAAGUCGCUGAGUCCUUGCCCCUUUUUACUGGCUGACUAGAAGACAUACCAGGAUUUCUCCUUUUUGCAAACUCAGUCCGAAUCCUCCUAUUCUCAGUCGCGAGCUUCGCAGCCUGUAAAGCCAUUUGUACCACCUCCUUAUGUGGCUCCCUACCAGUCACUGUCAUUCGCUCUCUAAUCUCAUUACGGAGCCCUUCCUCGAAAUAGUUGGCCUGAUCCUACUUAGAUUUCACCAGAUCUGACACAUAUAACAUCAACUCGUUAAAACGAGUCUCGUACUCCUCUACAGUUAGAUUUCCCUGUUUUAAACUCAGAAAUUCUCUCUUCUUUUCUUUCUGAUGGAAAGAAGUGAAAUACUGACCAUCGAAUUCCCUGAGAAAAUCGGACCAUGUCUGAGGAGUAGUGGAACGGGACUUCACCGAAUUCCACCAAGUACAAGCCCUCUUCUCUAAUAAUCUCGUAGCCACCAUCAGCUUCAUGUCGUCGUCUAAUCCUAUAUCAGAGAGAAUCUCUGAAACUUGAUUAAUCUAGUCCUUUGCCACAGUGGCAUCCAACUCACCCGUGAAAGAUACACAACCCAAUUGCCUAGCCUCCUUCAGCUUCUUCGAAAUAAAUACAUCCUGUACUGGUGGUGGAACUAAAGGAGUAGCUGGAGGCACUAUAGGUGGAACUUGACCAGUCUGAGCUUGACCAGCCAUUGCGGCAAAAAAAGCUGCCAAUGCUUGUGCUGCCUCAGUAGACAUGGCGGGAAUACCCGUAGGUGGCUGAGGAGAUGGAGGAUGUGGAGGACUAUCGACCUGCUCAGUAGCAGGUGCUGCCCGAAUGGUAGAUGCAGCUGAUUCCUCCUUUACUGUAUCUGACAGAUGACGUUAGGAACAACCUCUUCCCCUCCCAACCGAUCUACUGAGAGGUGGGCGUCCGCGUCGAGGAGGCAUUGUAAUCUAUAAAAAAAAUACGAGCAAGUUUAGGUAACCUUAGGCUCUAUAUGCAGAUGCAUGCAUUAUAUUCAACUUAACCUAACUUAACUUAAUCCGGGGCCACACUGAUAUUGUAAAUUUUUAAAACAACUUUAAAACCAAAAACUAUGAUCUUUAAAACCAAAAGCUCUGAUACCAAUCGAAUUGUCACGACCCGGUACUCCCCUCGAGCCCGUGACAACCGUCGCAGUGUCCCGGUAGACACUUAUUGCUCGGAAUGUCAACCCGAAACCCCGCAAGGCUUUACUAUCAGUUUCUCUGUUCCCUUGUGAGCAACCAUUGUCAAAUAUCGUGUUCUAAAAGAUUUUAAGCUGUUUCCAACUUUAAACAAAUAAAAUAUUAAUUUUUCGUCUCACAAGGGUAUUUUGGUCAUUUUUCUCAAAAAUUUUAAAACUGGCUAAAACGUAAUAUACAAGUACAAAACACACAAUUCAUAUUCAAAAUGAGUUUAAAAGUCUAAAAUCUUCAUUUAAAACGAAAUUAUGGUUAUUUGAAUAUAAUAAGAAAAUAAAAGAAAUAUUAAGUAAAAUAUUCUAUUUUCUUAUAAAACAAUAUUUAUAGAGUUAUACGUGAAUAAUUUUUAUAACGUAAAAGCUAAAUAAAUUUAUACAUACUUAAAUACAGUAAGCCAAAAUAUUUAAUUUAAUUUACAAUAACAAGAGUGCCCCCGAAUAAACAAAAGUAAAGAGGACUGUGAACCUACGGUUUGGAAAAUGCAGAUCCCACUGUAGUCCUCGAUGAGAUCAGCUAUCUACAGUCUAUACUGAAC